AUAAGCGGAGGAAAAGAAACCAACAGGGAUUACCUCAGUAACGGCGAGUGAAGCGGUAACAGCUCAAAUUUGAAAUCUGGCUCUUUCAGGGUCCGAGUUGUAAUUUGUAGAAGAUGCUUUGGGCAUUGCUCCGGUCUAAGUUCCUUGGAACAGGACGUCAUAGAGGGUGAGAAUCCCGUAUGUGACUGGUUGCAUUUGUCCGUGUAAAGCUCUUUCGACGAGUCGAGUUGUUUGGGAAUGCAGCUCAAAAUGGGUGGUAUAUUUCAUCUAAAGCUAAAUAUUGGCCAGAGACCGAUAGCGCACAAGUAGAGUGAUCGAAAGAUGAAAAGCACUUUGGAAAGAGAGUUAAACAGUACGUGAAAUUGUUGAAAGGGAAGCGCUUGCAACCAGACUUGCAGGUCGUUGAUCAUCCGGGGUUCUCCCCGGUGCACUCGGCGGCUUUCAGGCCAGCAUCGGUUUGAGUGGUGGGAUAAAGGCCUUGGGAAUGUGGCUCCUUUCGGGGAGUGUUAUAGCCCAAGGUGCAAUGCCGCCUAUUCGGACCGAGGACCGCGCUUCGGCUAGGAUGCUGGCGUAAUGGUUGUAAGCGACCCGUCUUGAAACACGGACCAAGGAGUCUAACAUCUAUGCGAGUGUUUGGGUGUCAAACCCAUACGCGUAAUUAACGUGAACGGAGGUAAGAACCCUUAAGGGUGCAUUAUCGACCGAUCCUGAUGUCUUCGGAUGGAUUUGAGUAAGAGCAUAGCUGUUGGGACCCGAAAGAUGGUGAACUAUGCCUGAAUAGGGUGAAGCCAGAGGAAACUCUGGUGGAGGCUCGCAGCGGUUCUGACGUGCAAAUCGAUCGUCAAAUUUGGGUAUAGGGGCGAAAGACUAAUCGAACCA
This 879-nucleotide ribosomal RNA is filed under the name Helotiales sp. RNAcentral's name for it is "partial large subunit ribosomal RNA". It matches the Rfam family "Eukaryotic large subunit ribosomal RNA", at positions 46 to 942 of the family's 3401-position model. The record is from RNAcentral. Lineage: Eukaryota; Fungi; Ascomycota; Leotiomycetes; Helotiales.